GUGCAGCAGUUGCGAAAACUUGUCAAUGCACGAAAGUGUGAACGGGCUACCCCGAGUGCCGUCCGCUGAGGAUGGCUUUUCUCUGCUGUAAGAAGGCAGAGGAAUAAGGAGAGGGCAAGUCUGGUGUCAGCCGCCGCGGUAAUACCAGCUCCCCGAGUGGUAGGGAUGAUUAUUGGGCUUAAAGCGUCCGUAGCUGGCCUUUCAAGUCUCUUGUUAAAUCCAGCGAUUCAAUCGUUGGACUGCGGGAGAUACUGUUAGGCUAGGAGGCGGGAGAAGCCGACGGUAUUUCCGGGGUAGGGGUAAAAUCCUAUAAUCCCGGGAGGACCACCAGUGGCGAAGGCGGCCGACUAAAACGCGCCCGACGGUGAGGGACGAAAGCUGGGGGAGCGAACGGGAUUAGAUACCCGGGUAGUCC
RNAcentral lists this ribosomal RNA (415 nucleotides) under uncultured crenarchaeote. RNAcentral's name for it is "partial 16S ribosomal RNA". It matches the Rfam family "Archaeal small subunit ribosomal RNA", at positions 330 to 747 of the family's 1478-position model. The record is from RNAcentral. Lineage: Archaea; Thermoproteati; Thermoproteota.